UCUCCGUAGGUGAACCUGCGGAGGGAUCAUUACUGAGUGAGGGCCUCCCCGGCCCGACCUCCAUCCCUUUGUGAACACAACUUGUUGCUUCGGGGGCGACCCUGACGUUUCGACGGCGAGCGCCCCCGGAGGCCUUCAAACACGGCAUCUUUGCGUCGGAGUUUAAGUAAAUUUAAACAAAACUGUCAACAACGGAUCUCUUGGUUCUGGCAUCGAUGAAGAACGCAGC
RNAcentral lists this unclassified non-coding RNA (229 nucleotides) under uncultured fungus. Its description in RNAcentral is "sequence contains ITS1, 5.8S rRNA gene". The stretch from base 181 to 229 matches the Rfam family "5.8S ribosomal RNA", at positions 1 to 49 of the family's 154-position model. Lineage: Eukaryota; Fungi. The record is from RNAcentral.